This is a long non-coding RNA of Ceratitis capitata (Mediterranean fruit fly), 1213 nucleotides long. RefSeq lists it as uncharacterized. The record is from RefSeq and is a predicted model, not a curated record. The transcript is spliced from 3 exons. NCBI's taxonomy places the organism in Eukaryota, Metazoa, Arthropoda, Insecta, Diptera, Tephritidae.
ACGUACAAACUUCUACAUUUGUAUUUUUAAUAUCGUUCAACUCGUUCAGUGCGUAGAAUGUUAGCAGCAAAAAUUUUUUUAUUUUCAGUUUCACAUUUAGAAAAAAACCUGAUUUUGUAUUAAAUGCAAAUCUCAUUUAAUCAGCGAAGUGGUACAGCUAAAGUGUCUUCUUAAGGUCCAGCAACUUUGCAACGCUUGGACGCUUAACCAACAUAACAAAUUUUGAAAAGACAAACGGCUGCGAUUGGCGUCUGCGCAGCGUCAGGUGCCUGUUAUGGCAUUGGGUACAGACCACAACUUUUGCCUACUAAGUACAAAUCAGCAACUUCGAUUCUUCGUUGGAUUUCAUGGCUCAUUACUGAUAUUGCGUCUAUAUAUCCUCAUCUAACGAGAAACCCAGGAAACGAACUCUUCCGUCGAGCUGGGAACAAAAAGAAAGAGGUGUGAGUUGAGCUUGCAUGGAAAAGUUGGUUCGAAAUGGUCGUCUUUCAUAAGUGGUGGUCAAAUUCUGAUGACGCCAUACACAAAAAAAACCAUCCAACAGUAGGAUCCCAGAAUUCCGAAGCCCAGCCCUGCUCAUAGCAAGAUAGUCACAUAAGAGAUGGACGAUCGUUUCCUCCUCCUAAUCAGACAGUGGUCUACUUUGGACAUGUCUCCUCUGAACGAACCACGCUUAGGUUAUCAAGUAAAGCUGUAAUGCACCAUUGAAUCGUAAACAACUCUUGGGAAAAAUAUGGUAAUCUCUCUGUCGCUUUUCUAGUGGAUGUACAGAGUUAGGUGAAGCCUAAUAAAAAGAAAGCAAUACCCGCGUUGGGCACUUUCAGAAAUGUUUUUUUUUUAAACUUGAGUUGAGUUGCUGCGGCUACUGGUCAAAGGCCUUUUGUGACACCGCUUAAGCUGAAUAAAAUGAAAUAUUUCCCGAUGUCUUAAAAACUUAUUACCAAAUACAAGUAAUCAUCAAAUCGCGUAAGCGCUUUUCAAUUUAUAUACUAUGUAUUUAAAAGUAUUUAUAACCUCAAAAUGUGCUUGUUUUUACAAUUCAUUUCCACUAAAAACAAUAUGCCAGUUCAUAUAAAAAGUUAUCAAAAACAUAAAAAUAUUUGAGCUAAUGAAAUUCUCAGCGCUUGCAUUUGCUUAUGAUAACAAAAUGUAAUCUGUUUGGCUUAUAAAUUAUACAAUAAGGCAGAAGGCAUUAAAUAAUGCAAAAAUCAAU